Molecule: ribosomal RNA, 397 nt
Filed under: uncultured bacterium
Lineage: Bacteria
Description: bacterial SSU rRNA
Rfam family: Bacterial small subunit ribosomal RNA
Source: RNAcentral
GAGUUUGAUCUUGGCUCAGGAUGAACGCUGGCGGCGUGCUUAACACAUGCAAGUCGAACGGUGAAAGAGGAGCUUGCUCCUCUGGAUCAGUGGCGAACGGGUGAGUAACACGUGAGUAACCUGCCCCAGACUCUGGGAUAAGCACUGGAAACGGUGUCUAAUACCGGAUACGAGCUUCAGCCGCAUGGCUAGGAGCUGGAAAGAAUUUCGGUCUGGGAUGGACUCGCGGCCUAUCAGCUAGUUGGUGAGGUAACGGCCCACCAAGGCGACGACGGGUAGCCGGCCUGAGAGGGUGACCGGCCACACUGGGACUGAGACACGGCCCAGACUCCUACGGGAGGCAGCAGUGGGGAAUAUUGCACAAUGGGCGCAAGCCUGAUGCAGCAACGCCGCGUGA